GAUCAUCUCAGGACGAACGCUGGCGGCGUGCUUAACACAUGCAAGUCGAACGAGAAUCUACGGAUCGAGGAUUCGUCCAAGUGAAGUAGAGGACAGUGGCGGACGGGUGAGUAACGCGUGAGGAACCUGCCUUUCAGAGGGGGACGAACAGUUGGAAACGACUGCUAAUACCGCAUGACACAUUGGGGUCGCAUGGCCCUGAUGUCAAAGAUUUAUCGCUGAAAGAUGGCCUCG
Molecule: ribosomal RNA, 234 nt
Filed under: uncultured bacterium
Lineage: Bacteria
Description: partial 16S ribosomal RNA
Rfam family: Bacterial small subunit ribosomal RNA
Source: RNAcentral